UCUGCCUGGUAGUGGGGGACAACGUUUCGAAAGGAACGCUAAUACCGCAUACGUCCUACGGGAGAAAGCAGGGGACCUUCGGGCCUUGCGCUAUCAGAUGAGCCUAGGUCGGAUUAGCUAGUUGGUGGGGUAAUGGCUCACCAAGGCGACGAUCCGUAACUGGUCUGAGAGGAUGAUCAGUCACACUGGAACUGAGACACGGUCCAGACUCCUACGGGAGGCAGCAGUGGGGAAUAUUGGACAAUGGGCGAAAGCCUGAUCCAGCCAUGCCGCGUGUGUGAAGAAGGUCUUCGGAUUGUAAAGCACUUUAAGUUGGGAGGAAGGGCAGUAAGCUAAUACCUUGCUGUUUUGACGUUACCGACAGAAUAAGCACCGGCUAACUCUGUGCCAGCAGCCGCGGUAAUACAGAGGGUGCAAGCGUUAAUCGGAAUUACUGGGCGUAAAGCGCGCGUAGGUGGUUUGUUAAGUUGGAUGUGAAAGCCCCGGGCUCAACCUGGGAACUGCAUCCAAAACUGGCAAGCUAGAGUACGGUAGAGGGUGGUGGAAUUUCCUGUGUAGCGGUGAAAUGCGUAGAUAUAGGAAGGAACACCA
RNAcentral lists this ribosomal RNA (591 nucleotides) under Pseudomonas sp. RNAcentral's name for it is "bacterial SSU rRNA". It matches the Rfam family "Bacterial small subunit ribosomal RNA", at positions 125 to 711 of the family's 1533-position model. Lineage: Bacteria; Pseudomonadati; Pseudomonadota; Gammaproteobacteria; Pseudomonadales; Pseudomonadaceae. The record is from RNAcentral.